This is a long non-coding RNA of Carassius auratus (goldfish), 1343 nucleotides long. RefSeq lists it as uncharacterized. The transcript is spliced from 3 exons. The record is from RefSeq and is a predicted model, not a curated record. Lineage: Eukaryota; Metazoa; Chordata; Actinopteri; Cypriniformes; Cyprinidae.
AGCAUCUGGCAAUAUCCUCCUCCCCUGCUGCCACUCUGCGCCUCUGCUGCACCAAUCACCCCACGACCAAAGAGAAACCCUUCACCCGCAUGUGUGCCAGUGACCGCCGUUCUCUCCGCACCCAGAGAACUCCCUUACAGUGCCACUGAUGUUCGCUUGAGUUCUUUUGUCAUCCCAACCACUGAUGCCAACAAUCUAGGAGCUGUGUCAGACAUUUAGGUGCACUCUCUGAAGGAUAAGAUUUUUUUCCCAGUAAAAAAAAACCCUUAACGUUUUGUCAUAUUUGCUUGACCUCAGCAUUUCACUUACACUUUGCCGUACUGGGCUUUUUUUUUUACCAAAAUAAGAUGAAAUAAGAGGGAGAGAGAAAAAAUACCCCAUUCAAAAGUUUACAUACACUUGAAAUGUAAUACUGGAUGAGCCAGAGUGUUUUUUUUUUUUUGUCCUGAACAGUUAAACUGCCCGCUGUUCUUCUAUGAUUUUGAGAUCAAUCUUUUCACACUGAGGACAACUUUGGGUCUACACAACUAUUACUAUUACAAAACAGUCAUUGAUGCUCCAGAAGGACACACGAUGCAUUGAGAGUGUAAACCUUUGAACAGAAUGAAGAAAGAAUGAAAUAGAAUAAAGUUGACAUUUUUCUCAUAUUGCCUAAAUAUCAUAUUUUUUGUUUAGUACUGCUCUUCAGAAGCUACAGAAGAUACUUGCAUGUUUCCCAGAAGACUAAAUAAGUAAAAUUUACCCUGAUCUUCAGAUUCUAAAAGUUUUCACCCCCGGCUCUUAAGGCAUUGUGUUUUCUUCUGGAGCAUCAGUGAGCGUUUAAAUCUUCUGGAAUGGUUGCAUAUGAGUCCAUCAGUUGUCCUCAGUGUGAAAAGAUGGAUCUCAAAUUCAUACAGUCAUUGUUGGAAAGGGUUCAAAUAUGCAAAUGUUGCUGGAAAACCAAAGAAUUUGUGGGACUGGAAGUAUUUUUCUGAAGAACAGUUUAACUGUUCAGGACAAACAAGGGACUCAUGAACAACUAUCACUAAGGAAAGAAUACACAGCCUGUGGAUCAUUCAGGAAACAACACAAUAUUAAGAAUCUAAAUUUUGAAUGGGGUCAUUUUUAUAAAUAAACUAUUAUUUUCUCUUGUGGAAUAUAUACACGUCUUUUAUUCAGGUCAGUAAUAAAUAAAAAAUAACAUGCAUUUUGUAUGAUCCCUCUUAUUUAAAAAAAAAAUAAUCUGCAAAAUGUAUGUAAAAUUUUGACCACAAUUGUACAUAGACUGUAAAUAGAGAAGCAAAUGUGCACUGUUGUUCCACUGUUGCCUUGUACAAAUAGAAAUAAAAUCAUUUUUAAAACCA